This 217-nucleotide long non-coding RNA is filed under the name Elaeis guineensis (African oil palm). Its description in RNAcentral is "long non-coding RNA (EGUI_LNC021185)". The record is from RNAcentral. Lineage: Eukaryota; Viridiplantae; Streptophyta; Magnoliopsida; Arecales; Arecaceae.
CUCUAUUUAUUUAAUUAUUUAUUUAUUUUUCCUAAUUUAGUUAAAAAAGUAAAAUAAAAUAAAAAUAAAAAUAAAAUAAAAUUUUGGGGAUAGAGGUGUGGAUUUCGAUGAACCUUGAUAGUGGGUUUUCGAUAUUUAAUUUGAUUUAUUUAUAAUAUUAAUAUACAGAAGAGUAGUCCAUCGGAUGGGAGAAGAUUAAGUAGGGUUUUUGACAUCC